Triticum aestivum (bread wheat) is the source of this 3384-nucleotide long non-coding RNA. RefSeq lists it as uncharacterized. NCBI's taxonomy places the organism in Eukaryota, Viridiplantae, Streptophyta, Magnoliopsida, Poales, Poaceae. The record is from RefSeq and is a predicted model, not a curated record. The transcript is spliced from 3 exons.
GAGAAAGAAUUAGGACCGCGCUUGCAUUUUACUCUUUUUUUAUCAACCCUCUCUGCCCGUUUAGACCGAGUGGCGGCGCUCCAGAUCCGAUCGGGAUGCAGGACGACGGCGCAGGGCUCCGGGAGACGAGGAACGGCGGGGAAGUGGCGGACGUCGGGGCGAGGCGGAUGAGGUCGGGAUUCAGUGCGGCGGUGAGGAGACCAGCGGCGACGAUGCUCCAUGGCCAUGGUGGCUCGGUAUCCUGGGAAGAAGAGACGAGGGAGAGAGAGAAGGUGAGACGGAAAGAAGAGAAGGCAAAGUAGGGACGAUGCGGCUUCGUGCUGCUGGUCCGGUGGCGUUUCCAAGUUUGAUUUUUGGAUUUCUCUCCUUCCCGCUGCCUGAUGGGGGUUGCCCAGCCGCCACUCUCCCUGCCCCGCAGACCUCCUCCCCCUAGCUGCACCUCCCUGCAUUCAUGGUGACGCCGUCACCCUCGCUUGCAUCUUGUUGUUGCUUUGUUGUCCGUGGAUAAGGAGUGACAGAUUUGACCGAAAAUAGAAAAGGAGAAGAUUUUUUAUGGUAAAAGGAGAGGAUCUCAUAACAAAGGGAAUUUUUAGUUGUAUUUAUCGGAGAGAAGAAGUGUUAUUGUUGCUACUUUUGAUCGCUCUGAACAUGUACUUUGUGAUUUGCCACUGAUUAGUUGACGUCUUGACGACGAGACAGUAAGCUUGCAGGUGAAUCAGGCUCUGCAUGCUUCGGUCUGGGGUGCUAGCGGGAGCUCAGGGGCGAUCUCCCAGUCUACCGCCCGACGACCAGGAGACGCAGCUCUCCCAUUGGGAGACCGGCGCGGUCAACCCCAUUGGUGAUUUGUUCCUGGCCUGGAUCAAUCGGUCCACACACAACUGAAACAAGCAAAUUAAUGGAUUUUGAUAAGGAUGUUAGCUUGAAAGUGGAAACAUACAAAGCUUGCUAUUAGGUGUUGUCCUGUUGCCUCUCACGGACACACAUAUGGAUCCGCUAGGCAGGCUAGAUGCCAAUCUCCACACGCCUAGAGUCACUGGACCUCUGUCCUCCCACUUCAAACUUCAUGCAAAACCUUCAUCCAUUUGCAGAGAAGGCACCGACUGCGUUGUCGGCUAGAUGGCAGCCUCGGUGUGACUAGGAACCUAUGACUCCAAUGGUUCCAUUGACCUCCUACUUUUAACCAUCCCACGCAUGACAGCAAGCAAUUCUUUUCUUUGUUCAGAGUUACUUAAAGGCAUGUAUGCAUUUUAAUCAAAGAGAUUUACUGAUUUACUCUAAUGACUAUUCAGGCAGUAUGUGACAGGGAUGCUUCUCCACUGACCCCAGCAUCGUGGAUGCUAAUUACAAUUGAAGAUCUGCAUAUGUGUGAUUGGGAUUUAAUGUGCAAAUAUGUGAAGCUACUAGGGAGUUUGCGUCUACUGGAUUGUGCAUGCAGUAUUUAGUACCCAUUGCUUUACAUGUGAAAAUAUUUUCGCUAUAGUUAUUGGAACUAAUUUUCUUACAAUGAAACUACUACUUGCAUGUCAAAAAUUGUACGAUUUCAGUACUAUUAGUGAUCUAAUACAUGCCCGACAGGGUCGACGACAGUGGUGAGGGCACAACCAGCUGCUUCCUCCAGUUCAAUAGGCAGUCAAAUCAAGAUAUUUAUACAUCAUCUUGAGGUAUGUAGUCUGAUGUCCACGAUAAUACUUCUAAAGUGCAAUAGUGAAUUUUGAUCGUGUAAUACCAUCACAGCUACACGCGUACAUGUACCCAUCAGAGUGUGGUUAAUUAUUUUCUUUAUUUGGCGGCCCUUUGUGCAAAGCUUUGGUAGGCGUUUUAAUCAUUUGAUUUCAUGGUACGUGUUCUGCUUAUGUAGGGAUUUAAUUUUCGGCAUGCAUGUUUAAUUUUAUUUGCGAACCUGCAUUAUUCAACUGGUUGUGUCUUCUUUUACUUGUUCAUCAAUUGAAGAAUUUUUCAUGCAGAAAGGUGAUCUCCUAAUGCGCCUAUCAGCCAUGGGCUACAAACUGAAUUAUCAACAAGAUUAUUGUGAUACCCGGCGUUGUCGUGCUCUACAACUAUGCAAUAAUGAUCUCAAAAGAACAAUAACUAUGCCACAUAGUUCUGAACUCUGACGUUUUAUGUUUUUGGUUAUAAGUUUCUUUUGAAUAUUUGGUGAAUAAUCCAAUUAAUCUUUCCUUAUAGUUUGCGUUGUCAGAGUAUGUUUUCACUGUAGGAAAUUUAUUUCAACAUCUCCAUGAUGCCAUAACUCUAUGUAGAGUUGUUCAGCUCCCACAUUAUCCUGAUGCUUAUUGCUAUUACUAUGACAUUAUACUUUUUUUCAGAAAGUGAUUGCUCCAUCAGGUACUCAUAAAAGGAAAUUGCACAACUACACCAUGGCUAUCCAGUAUGUCAAGCAAGCUCGGGUUCAGAUGACUGAUGUAAAUGGAGUCACAAUUUAAGCAGAAGAUAUUCUUAAUGGCGACAAGGAACUAAUUUUUCUGUUGCUAUGGAUAAUGCUCAUUCAUAUGCAGUGGGGAUAUUACUUCUCAGCACUAUGUUACUAUCACUUGCCUAAAUCAGAAGGGUUGCAGUACCAAAUUUCUUUUCAGUAAGAAAGUGUACGUGCAUGUGUUAUCCAACAAGAUUAUGUGAAGAUUUUGAGGCUGCAGUAAACUUGCUCUCCGGCAAGAUCAAGCCUCAUGUUGUUGUACAGAGAGUACCAAAGAUGCAAGGUGGAUUUAGAUGAGAAAUGAGUGAAUUUUCUACUCUUGGGUGUACUACACUCGAGUUUACACGAUGUUAAAUUCCACCCGGCUUACAUCCACGAUGUUUCCCUAAUUAUGUGCAACCCACUAAUUCACAAUGAUGUAUUUGCUCGAGAGGGUGGAGUAAUAUUUUGAUAUGUAUUUCUGUCUGCACAAAUAAAAUGUAUUUCUAUCUGCACAAAUAAAAUGUAUUUCUUUCUGCACAAAUAAAAUGUAUUAACUGUUGAUGUCGCUACAAAAAGUUUUUCAUUAUUGUGGAAGCAGAAACACACUUGAGAGGAUUUCAUUUAGUAUGUACUUUGAGUUUUCAGAGCUAGAGAGGCUGGUGCCAAAUCUACAUCAGAACAACGGCAAGUUAACAAACGAGGAGGCUGCCAAGUUGUACUGUGGCUACUCUUAGAUAUGUUUUUGCACUUUUGAAUUUUAUUUGAGAGUGAAUCUCAAAGGUAUAACUUCGGCAAAGUGCUAGCGCCCACCUACAGAUGACAAGAUUUUCUUCUUCUAAAUGUAAUGAGGCAUGAGCCACAAACACUUCAUAGAACUUUAAAUUAAAAUAUUAAUCCCCUGCGUGCAUAUAAACGAUAAACAUUGUCCUAAUAUAUUUUCCAGUAAAUGAUUGUGAACCGAUUUUUUUCAA